RNAcentral lists this ribosomal RNA (434 nucleotides) under uncultured bacterium. RNAcentral describes it as "bacterial SSU rRNA". It matches the Rfam family "Bacterial small subunit ribosomal RNA", at positions 1 to 430 of the family's 1533-position model. The record is from RNAcentral.
GAACCUUAUCGGUCUCGCGAAUGCAUCUCAGAUUAGUUUUGAUCAUGGCUCAGAUUGAACGCUAGCGGGAUGCCUUACACAUGCAAGUCGAACGGCAGCACGGACUUCGGUCUGGUGGCGAGUGGCGAACGGGUGAGUAAUGUAUCGGAACGUGCCCAGUAGCGGGGGAUAACUACGCGAAAGCGUAGCUAAUACCGCAUACGCCCUACGUGGGGAAAGCAGGGGAUCGCAAGACCUUGCACUAUUGGAGCGGCCGAUAUCGGAUUAGCUAGUUGGUGGGAGUAACGGCUCACCAAGGCGACGAUCCGUAGCUUGGUUUUGACGACGGGACGGACCAGCCACAACUGGGGCACCUGAGGAACCAACGGGGGGCCCCCCAAGGAAACCGUUUCCCCUUUAACCGGGGGGGCAAAGGCGGCCCAAGGGCCAAAGAG